UUAAAAUUUCCUCUGCAGUGUCAUUCUUCGCCUGUCUCGUGCUACAGAAAUCCUGUUAGUUCCUAUCCCUGGCCACUGCUGAGUUUUAGAGAACAAAGCAGGACUGCCAUGUACUGCCACCCAUCUCAGCCCUUUGUGGGCUGCAGAGCUUACUGGCAGACCUUUGGAGCUCCUUUCUUUCACAGAUGGGGAUGCGUUCAUGUAGCACUGUUGCUUGUAUCACUCCAACAACUCUUUUAGCAGCUGUAAAUGGAUUUCAGCAAAGAUACAAAUACUCGUGAGGUGUUUGAUCUCGGCUACUGAUUGAUAGGUGUGGGUUGAUUUUAUAUAUUCAAAUUAUAUUCCAGCAGCUCCAAGACAUAAUAGGACCAUAACAGCUUUACCCUAGAGCACUGUUACAACUGUUCAUGAUAAGUUGCUUCAUUUUACUGUUCCCACUCAGGUAUUCAGUUGCAACAGGUCUGUGACACCAACUGUUCGUAAUAGACUCCAGCUAACUUUGUAGCUUAAAAUUUCACUUCCUAAAUAUUUUGAAAGGAACAUUACCAAUAUUUUUGCAGAUUUGUGAUUUGUGUAUGAGGAAAUAGCCAUAAAUGUCCUGCUACUUUUCAGGAGAGAAAACUGGUACAUCAAAUAUGCUUUCAAUGCAUUCGGGCUGCAUUUUAGGUCUGGAAAUUGUGUUUGUUAGGUGGCUGCUUGUAAAAAAACCCUUUGGGUGUAAUCUGCUUUUGAACUGCAGGGUAUGGGAACGGUAUAUGCAGAAUGCAUUUAUGUAGGACAGAAGAAAAUUAUCCGUCUAACUCUCACUCCUUGCCUUAACAUUUCUCUGUUUUCUUUUUCAAAGACGCCACAUUCUAAGCUGGCACAAACCUUCUAGCUAUAUUCUGAGGUACAUUUGUGACACUGAUUAAAACAAAAAAAAAAAAGGUUUUCCUUGUAUGGGAAGAAAGAGGUAAACUUUGUGACUUUACUAUAAAGUUUCUAUUAGCUUUAUACAUAGUUUGCAUUUAAUGACUGGAAAUUUUCUUUUGAUGAUAUAAAGAAAUGCAAAUGUAAUCUUGAGCUUCAAGCUCGCAGUACUCGACCCCACUGCCAUUACAUUUCCUUUUAAUUGCAAUCAGCCUUUACCAUCAUUUCUGCUCUUAUUGAAACGAUACCUAAUGAUUGUUCAUCCAGUUAUCUUAGCAGUGGGCCUCCAGUCUGUGAUCCUUGCUUUGUCAGCCGCACAGCCCCAGUCUUCUUCAUUCUUAACUCAGGUCUACAAAACGUUCUAUUAAGAAACCUUCUGCUUUCAAAUGCAAAACGUGUGUGUUUGUGGGUAUGUGUGUGUGAAAUUCAUGAAGUUCUCAGUGAAGGAUUGAUAGUUCUUGUGCACAGGGACCAGACAGCAUCUUUUGGCUCAUGCUAGGAUUUAAUUAGACAUUGUAUAAGGAAAUUUCAGGACAGUGCAGAUUUAAGAUGUAAAUGAAGCAGUGGAGCCACAGCGUGUGCUGAAGGCUGUGUCCAAACACCUGUUGCUCCCUUAGUUAAAUGUUGGUUCUUGUGAACAGUCGUGAGGGAUGUGUGGGCAUCAGUUUGUGUGUUGUAGGAAGAGCUGAAGUGAUGAUGUAAGGGCUUUAUUCCACAAUUUCCUUCCUUGUCCUCCAUAACUGUUUUGCAAUGGAAAAAUGUUGUUUUACUCAGUACAGAUUGCAGUAGCAAAAGGAGGAGUGCUCUUAAUUUCCUUCAAAAUAAAAAUCUUAAACCACCUGUCAACUGAACUUGGAGGAAAGAUACGGAGAUGGGAGAAGAGCCUCUACUCAAUGUUUCUGUGCAUGUAAUUGUAUAAUAUUUUUUUGUGUGUUUUGCUUUUAAAACGCAUUCAUAUUCUCAUCAGUCAGGGUCACAGCAGUAUCUUUCCAAUACUUAGAGAUAUUUAGAGAAAUUGUUCACGUUUUCUCUUCUUUGAGUGAUGUCAACACUGAUUCCAGGAUUAGACUCCCUGCAAAAUGAACAUGAAAGAGCCCCCAGCGCAGUCAGCUGAAGCAGCCUCUGAAAGCAGUGAUUUCCAAUAAUCCAGCUGGCUCUGUGCUGGCACAGAUGGGCAGCACUGGCCUGCCGGCCACCUCGGCUCAGCUGUGGGCCCUGCAAUAAGCGUCCUGCAUUAGCGAUAUUUCAAACUGCUGCAGUUCUUUCCUGAAGUGGUCAUUGGUUUACACUCUGGGAGGUUUUUACUGCCUGCUGUAAGUAUUUCAAGAUAUACUGUAAUUAAUCACCUUGGAACGAUUGCUGUUAACAUUUUUAGCAUUUAUCACCAGUUAGCAGUUGAUGAGAUUUCUGUUCCAGUGGAAAGAACGGACGCAACUCUUUUGGAAGUGUGUGGUAAGGGUUCAUCAGUGUGGUUAGGUCCCUAUAAAAAUAACGAUACCGAGUGAGUUUUCGUUAAUUUGAAAUGUCUUUCUGAAUACCUUAAAAUCUAUGCUGUUUUUAAGGAGAACUUUAGUCUUUAAUGCUGCAUGGCUUUUUUUGAAUCGAUACUUCUCCUUUAAACAUAUGUGGUCUUUGGAGACGUGCUGGGAAAGAUGACCAUGCAAACCCAGUGACAAUGGUAAAGUUCAGCACAGUGUUCUUGAGCAGUGCUUGCAAUCUCGUUCUGAACAGCGCUGUGAGUCUGCUGUGUCAUAAGUGUGAGAAACUUAACAUUUUGAACGUGAUGGUUGAGAUUCUCACCUUCAGCAUGAUUUUAUGGCUAAAGCAUUAGGGAACAAAUAGAAGACGGACUGUGGAUUUCAAGAAAUAACAUUUGCAAGCAUUUGCUCUUUAUCUUAUCAAGUCAGCCAGCCCUGCUAUAUGUGCCUGCAGUUUACAGGGAGCUCUUCAAAGUUGAUCAAAAAGACUUUUGAAACUCGGGGUGGAUUUCAUUAUAAUCCUAAUUGUAAUAAUUGCCUUUUUAAACUAAGAGAAGCACAGAGUGAUGAGAUGAGACAGAGAGGGCAAAACAGAAGUAAACAUUUCUUUCCUCAUGGUGUCCUUGUGGGCAAGUCCUUCCUUUCUUUCAGUCUUGCUCUCAGUUCAUCCACUGAUGCAGUGGGUUCCCAUACAGUGUGCCCAGGCUCCUGUCAUCCUUGAGAAGUUUCUCCUGUCACCUGAAGGCCCAGCUGUGCCUGUCUUGGCAAUCCCAGCCUGAACACCAGGCUCGCUACCCCUCACCUCUCCUGCUUGCUCUGCCCUGGAUGCUGAGUUCCUCUCACAGAAUCAGAGCAGUUUUGGAGAACGCACAGAUCCUUUACAAAGACAGCUUGUUUUAUGUGAUGGGAAUCAAAUUUACAUAUGCCUUUGUUCUUUGUAAAUGCUGUUGUUUCGAUGGGAAUAACUUUUCUAACCAAACAGCUGCUAAACUCGUGCGUCACUUUCUGCUCAUCUAAAAUUCUUGCAAAGCUUGUUAAUGUCCAUUUAUGUACAGCUGGCACCUCCAUUUACUGUGUAUGUUCUGUAAGAUCUGUGCCAGGCUGAAAUAAAGGUGGGGAAAAAGUUGGUGCUGUGGUGUUAGGGUGUGCAUGAAUGGAUAUGAGAUGCUGAAAUCUUCUUACAUCUCUUGACUAACACAUAACGUGUUUUUCCCUUAGACUUGUGUGCACUCAUUUCACAUAUUUGAGUGAAAAGCAGAAAAAAAGUCCCCAACAACUGUUUUCAAAAUACUUUCAGCGUUGGCAGUUGUUGCUGAGCAAAAUCUAAAAUGUGAAGUCUUUGUGCUUUUGAAAAUUAGCGCUUCAGCAAGUGCGUGGCUGUGCUUAGCAGGUCUGGCUUUGUGACUAGGGCUGCUGAUUUAUCCAGUAAUGACAUCGUGCUGAGGGCAGUUCUGACUAAGAGGUCUUUACAAAUGCUAUGCGUUCCAAAGAUGUAAACCCUGGCAUACGAUGCGAAAGGCACUUAGACGGUCAAUUAUCCUUGUUAGGAUCUUGUCCAUUAUGGCUUGAGACUGAGUGAUACAGUGAUGUAAAAUAAACAGCUGAGAGAAGAAAAUUGAAAGGAGAUUGAAUACUAUGGUCCACCUUUCUUCAUUGCCAGUAUAUCUCACUUUUAAUUCUGAAUGUGCAAGUCUCCUCACUGUGUUCUUGAACUCCCAAUUGUAUAGGAUUUAUGUUUCAGCACGUCCUGGAACCAUCUAUUUUUGUUUUGUGGCUGCUUUACAUUUUAGUAAACCUCUUCCCUUUCAUUACAGAAGACCGACAUAAAAAUAAUACUUUCAAUAUGCUGUUUUUAUUUAUCUACAUUCUGUCAUGAUAUACUUUGAUGUAAGUUUUUAAUUUUGCUUCAGCUUUCAGCUGUUGUAGCAGUUACUGCUCAGGGUCAGCGAUGAGGUUAGCCACAGUAGCACAAAACAAUUUCCUGUUCUCACAGCCCAGGUAGCAUUUGGAUGUGGAUUAAAUUUUACCACAUUUUCCAGUAGCCAGACACAAUUAUUUCUAAUGAGCUUUAAAUUGCUUCUAGAGCACGUAUUUCCAAACUUAGGGUGGUGAUCCAUUCAGUGCUAGCGACUUCAUAAGACAGCACUUCUUCUUCCGAGCUGUGGUUAAGCAGGUAUUUCUAAUCAGUGGAUUUGCUUACAAGUGGCUUGCUCACUGUUCUCAAUUGCUGUUCAUCUGUUGUCCUCUCUCCUGCAAUGCUGCUUCCAUAAUAUAUUGUUCUUCAUUACUGACUCGGAUUUCAUCAUCGUUUUCUUUUGGCAAAUUUAUCUUGGCAUUAUUCACGCUGCUUGUGCCAUUUUGAGAGGUUUUAAUGCACGUUUUGUUGUUCUGGAGGCUUUAAAAAUUAGUUUUUGAAGUUCUGCUCUCAUCUUUACGAUUCAUGUUUUCCUUUUGUUUUCCAUAUAUGGCCACUUUGCUAUCCUGCCCUGGCAUUCUGAACACGUGGAAGGCAUACGUUCAAAACUCAUCUUUAUGGGGCGGUAAUGAAUAAUAAGAAAUAUGAAAGUGGAAAAGACAAGGAACAUUAUUUUUCCCUCUAUAAAUAUGGUGAUCAGAUCCUCUCUCUUGGGACUUUGUCAGAAGAUCAGGGUUAUCCACUGAAACUCAGGGCGUUUCCAUCUGUUACUCUGCGCUCAAAUCUGCCUGAUGUGGAAAUUAUAUCCGCUUUGGCUUCUUGGAGUCGUAUGGGGACAAGCACUUUGACAGGCCUUUGUCAGAACGCUGCUUUCAGCAUCCCACAGUGACUUGCUACAAUAUCAAAAGCUAAGCCAGUCUUAUUACCUACUUUUGGAACGUCUGACCCAAGAUCAUAUGGAUUUCAUUACCAGCUUAGAGCCUCAUGUCCUGAUCUGUGUCCUCACCUCCGUGUCUGGAGGACUUACUGCUCGAGAUGAUGUCAAUCCUUAUGAACAGCAUCAGUUUGGAAGACUGCAGGAACCAACGGUCUGUGUCAGGACCACUGCUUGGACUUAUAGCUCUAGAUGAGAAGUACUUCAGUGAGCUGAGGGCAACUUUGAUAAACAGCCAGCCUGGCAGCACACAGCAAGACCUUGAGCAAUGCUUCAGGAACCUCAUGAAAGGAGUUGAGCAGAAGGUUUCAGUGAAGAACAGAGGCUGGUUCACCCAGAACGUGUCAGUGUUCUGAAGGGACGUGGCUGAGGUGCUGCGCAGUGAAGGGGCGGCCGAUGCGGGCAGCUUGGGAAUGAAGAGCUGACAAGGACUGGGGAAAGCAGAGCUGGCUAAUAAAUCUGUUCUGAAA
Centrocercus urophasianus (Greater sage-grouse) is the source of this 5706-nucleotide RNA transcript. It is a transcript of the gene named ran-binding protein 17-like, with no coding region annotated. Lineage: Eukaryota; Metazoa; Chordata; Aves; Galliformes; Phasianidae. The transcript has 6 exons. The record is from RefSeq and is a predicted model, not a curated record.